This 86-nucleotide transfer RNA is filed under the name Coprinopsis marcescibilis. It matches the Rfam family "tRNA". Rfam says of the family: Transfer RNA (tRNA) molecules are approximately 80 nucleotides in length. The record is from Rfam by way of RNAcentral. Lineage: Eukaryota; Fungi; Basidiomycota; Agaricomycetes; Agaricales; Psathyrellaceae.
GGCCGUGUGGCGAAAUGGCAUCGCGUCUGACUACGAUUCAGAGCAUCGCGAUCAGGAGAUUGUAGGUUCGACCCCUACCUCGGUCA